GAUGAACGCUGGCGGCGUGCCUAAUACAUGCAAGUCGAGCGAACAGACGAGGAGCUUGCUCCUCUGACGUUAGCGGCGGACGGGUGAGUAACACGUGGAUAACCUACCUAUAAGACUGGGAUAACUUCGGGAAACCGGAGCUAAUACCGGAUAAUAUAUUGAACCGCAUGGUUCAAUAGUGAAAGACGGUUUUGCUGUCACUUAUAGAUGGAUCCGCGCCGCAUUAGCUAGUUGGUAAGGUAACGGCUUACCAAGGCAACGAUGCGUAGCCGACCUGAGAGGGUGAUCGGCCACACUGGAACUGAGACACGGUCCAGACUCCUACGGGAGGCAGCAGUAGGGAAUCUUCCGCAAUGGGGGAAAGCCGGACGGAGCAACGCCGCGUGAGUGAUGAAGGUCUUCGGAUCGUAAAACUCUGUUAUUAGGGAAGAACAAAUGUGUAAGUAACUAUGCACGUCUUGACGGUACCGAAUCAGAAAGCCACGGCUAACUACGUG
Molecule: ribosomal RNA, 497 nt
Filed under: uncultured bacterium
Lineage: Bacteria
Description: partial 16S ribosomal RNA
Rfam family: Bacterial small subunit ribosomal RNA
Source: RNAcentral